AAAAUUUUAAAGGUCGAACAGACCUAAUAUUCUUAGCUUCUACACCAAAAAUUAAUUUUAAUCCAACAUCGAGGUCGCAAACCCUUCUUUCGAUUAGAACUCUCAAGAAAGAUUACGCUGUUAUCCCUAAGGUAAUUUUAUCUUAUAAUCAAAAAAAUUGGAUCAAUAACUCAUUAAUCAAUGUAGCAAUAAAAAAAAAGUUAAUUAAAUUUUUCAAUCUCCCCAACUAAAUAGAUUUUAAAAUACAAAGUAAUAAUUCUAAAAAUUUAUACAAUAAAAAAUAUUAAACUCUAUAGGGUCUUCUCGUCUUUUAAUAACAUUUAAGCUUUUUUACUUAAAAAUAAAAUUCUAGAUAUUAAAUAGAGACAGUUAUUUUCUUGUUCAGCCUUUCAUUCCAGCUUUCAAUUAAAAAACUAAUGAUUAUGCUACCUUUGCACGGUCAGUGUACCGCGGCCAUUUAAAUACUCAGUGGGCAGGCUAGACCUUAAAUUAUAAUCAAAAGGCC
Molecule: ribosomal RNA, 505 nt
Filed under: Prionus insularis
Lineage: Eukaryota; Metazoa; Arthropoda; Insecta; Coleoptera; Cerambycidae
Description: partial 16S ribosomal RNA
Source: RNAcentral